RNAcentral lists this ribosomal RNA (496 nucleotides) under uncultured bacterium. RNAcentral describes it as "partial 16S ribosomal RNA". It matches the Rfam family "Bacterial small subunit ribosomal RNA", at positions 29 to 507 of the family's 1533-position model. The record is from RNAcentral.
ACGAACGCUGGCGGCGUGCCUCAUACAUGCAAGUAGCACGCUGAAGAGAGGAGCUUGCUCUUCUUGGAUGAGUUGCGAACGGGUGAGUAACGCGUAGGUAACCUGCCUUGUAGCGGGGGAUAACUAUUGGAAACGAUAGCUAAUACCGCAUAACAAUGGAUGACUCAUGUCAUUUAUUUGAAAGGGGCAAUUGCUCCACUACAAGAUGGACCUGCGUUGUAUUAGCUAGUAGGUGAGGUAAUGGCUCACCUAGGCGACGAUACAUAGCCGACCUGAGAGGGUGAUCGGCCACACUGGGACUGAGACACGGCCCAGACUCCUACGGGAGGCAGCAGUAGGGAAUCUUCGGCAAUGGGGGCAACCCUGACCGAGCAACGCCGCGUGAGUGAAGAAGGUUUUCGGAUCGUAAAGCUCUGUUGUAAGUCAAGAACGGGUGUGAGAGUGGAAAGUUCACACUGUGACGGUAGCUUACCAGAAAGGGACGGCUAACUACGUG